UACAGAGGUCUCAAGCGUUGUUCGGAUUCAUUGGGCGUAAAGGGUGCGUAGGCGGCGCCGUAAGUCGGAUGUGAAAUCUCAGGGCUCAACCCUGAAACUGCAUUCGAUACUGCGGUGCUCGAGGACUCGAGAGGAGAUUGGAAUUCACGGUGUAGCAGUGAAAUGCGUAGAUAUCUGGAGGAAUACCGGUGGCGAAGGCGGCAUCCUGGACCGACAUUGACGCUGAGGAGCGAAAGCCAGGGGAGCAAACGGG
RNAcentral lists this ribosomal RNA (253 nucleotides) under uncultured bacterium. Its description in RNAcentral is "partial 16S ribosomal RNA". It matches the Rfam family "Bacterial small subunit ribosomal RNA", at positions 524 to 776 of the family's 1533-position model. The record is from RNAcentral.